Molecule: long non-coding RNA, 611 nt
Organism: Ostrea edulis (European flat oyster)
Lineage: Eukaryota; Metazoa; Mollusca; Bivalvia; Ostreida; Ostreidae
Exons: 5
Source: RefSeq, a predicted model, not a curated record
CACAGCGCGUGUUGUCCGCAGAUAAGGUGCAGUGUUAGUACCAGAGAGUCAGGAGGCAGAUAAACCCUGUGAUAAGUUGUACGAUGACUGCAUAAAAUGGUCUGUGGAUGUGGCCUAUUUAACACCACCCACCAACGCCGAUGGAAGUUUGCAUUUCCCGGACGACUUUUUCAAUAGAGUCUGUGGAUAUUUCACCAACGCCAGUGUUUGUUAUAAACUAACGACGCCUGAAGAUUGCGAGCCGGAUUUUCCACCCAACAACAUGAUAAAGAAAAUGAACAUUAUAUCCAUCAAAUUGUGCCGAAAUACAGACGCCCUGAACACGCUUGUUCCCUGCUUGAAUGAUAAAGAAUUCUAUGACGCAUAUUGGCGCGCAUCCGAAUAUGAGGGCCGUGAAAAGGAAAUUCCUUGCAAUGUGGCCAAGGAACAAAUUCGGCGGGUUUUGCGACUCUUCAAAGACAGAUGUGGUGAAGCUGAGUAUACUAAUCUGAAAACAGUGAUGGAGGAUGUUGGGGAGGAUCUACUUCCGGAAUUAGACUACCCAACCUGCAGUAUUGACGUCAACACCCUUACUCCCGACAAACGCGAGAGGGGCGUGUCCAGUGUAUCAU